UACACAGCAUAUAUAGGUGAAUAGAAGGUCAUCCUAUUCAUUUAUUCAUGAGAGGUACAAUCUCCAGGGAUCUGUAAAAUCUAUUUUGUCUUAAUCAAAGAACAAAUUUUUGACAUAUCUUGAAUAGGAUGACUAUAAAUUAUGACUUUUAAAUUUUUGUAAUUUUUGUACUAUUAUCUGAUAUUUUUAUUUUUAUGUAUGUUCCUAAGUAGUUUAGAGAGUCAGAUUUUAAAAAUCUAAGAUCAAACAAAUGAAGCUUAUUUUUAUGUAUUCAUAGUAUAAAAGACCUUCAGUAAAUAGAUGAUAUUUUUGUUUUAUUCUAGAAAACAGCUACUUGAACACAGUGAGCUGGCUUUUCACACAUUGCAGUUGUUAGCAUUUACUGCCCUUGCCAUUUUAAUUAUGAGGCUAAAGAUGUUUUUGACACCACACAUGUGUGUUAUGGCUUCCUUGGUAUGCUCUCGACAGCUCUUUGGCUGGCUUUUUCGCAGAGCUCGUUUUGAGAAUGUUAUCUUUGGCAUUCUAACAGUGAUGUCAAUACAAGGUUAUGCAAACCUCCGUAAUCAAUGGAGCAUAAUAGGAGAAUUUAAUAAUUUGCCUCAGGAAGAACUUUUACAGUGGAUCAAAUACAAUACCACAUCAGAUGCUGUCUUCGCAGGUGCCAUGCCUACAAUGGCAAGCGUCAAGCUGUCUACACUUCAUCCCAUUGUGAAUCAUCCACACUACGAAGAUGCAGACUUGAGGGCUCGGACAAAAAUAGUUUAUUCUACAUAUAGUCGAAAAUCUGCCAAAGAAGUAAGGGAUAAAUUGUUGGAGUUACAUGUGAAUUAUUAUGUUUUAGAAGAGGCAUGGUGUGUUGUGAGAACUAAGCCUGGUUGCAGUAUGCUUGAAAUCUGGGAUGUGGAAGACCCUUCCAAUGCAGCUAAUCCUCCUUUAUGUAGCGUCCUGCUCGAAGAUGCAAGGCCUUACUUCACCACAGUAUUUCAGAAUAGUGUGUACAGAGUACUGAAGGUUAACUGAGAAGGAAACUACCCAUUACACUAUGGCACAAUGCCGUGUGUCAAAAACAAUCACCCUUUGGCUUAUUUACAUUAAUAAAAAUCACAAACUUUAAUAACAGACAGUUAAAAAUAAGAUAAAAAUGGAUUGAAAGUUUUUCUGAUUACUAAAAGGUAAAUUACUUUUCUGUUCAUUGAAUAUCAGCCUUAUUAAGCUUGUCAUAUAAAUUAUUAAAUCAUUCAUGUCAUACUACAUAAACAAAUGUUCAUUUCAGAAUUUUAAAGAGAAAUGUAUAUAAAAGAACAAUGAAUUUUAAUAAAUCAAGGGUACUUAAGUC
RNAcentral lists this small RNA (1336 nucleotides) under Pongo abelii (Sumatran orangutan). RNAcentral describes it as "retained intron". The record is from RNAcentral. Lineage: Eukaryota; Metazoa; Chordata; Mammalia; Primates; Hominidae.